This 253-nucleotide ribosomal RNA is filed under the name uncultured bacterium. RNAcentral's name for it is "partial 16S ribosomal RNA". It matches the Rfam family "Bacterial small subunit ribosomal RNA", at positions 524 to 776 of the family's 1533-position model. The record is from RNAcentral.
GACAGAGGGUGCAAACGUUGUUCGGAAUUACUGGGCGUAAAGCGUGUGUAGGCGGUCCACUAAGUCGGGUGUGAAAGCCCUGGGCUCAACCCAGGAAGUGCACUCGAAACUGGCGGGCUAGAGUAUCGGAGAGGUUGGUGGAAUUCUCGGUGUAGAGGUGGAAUUCGUAGAUAUCGAGAGGAACACCGGUGGCGAAGGCGGCCAACUGGACGAAUACUGACGCUGAGACACGAAAGCGUGGGGAGCAAACAGG